UGGAGGACUGAGAAGGUUGAGCAGCUUGUUGUUGCUGCUACAACUGGUUAUAACCUCCAAGAGUAACAAACAAACCACACUAAGUGGCUCUGUCACAAGCAGAGCUGAUGUGUGUGUUUGUGAACAAAAC
This is a small nucleolar RNA of Siniperca chuatsi (mandarin fish), 130 nucleotides long. RefSeq annotates it as small nucleolar RNA SNORA47. Lineage: Eukaryota; Metazoa; Chordata; Actinopteri; Centrarchiformes; Sinipercidae. The transcript has a single exon. The record is from RefSeq and is a predicted model, not a curated record.